UUAAGUUAGAAAGGGCGCACGGUGGAUGCCUUGGCACUAGGAGCCGAUGAAGGACGGGACGAACACCGAUAUGCUUCGGGGAGCUGUAAGCAAGCUUUGAUCCGGAGAUUUCCGAAUGGGGAAACCCACCACUCGUAAUGGAGUGGUAUCCAUAUCUGAAUACAUAGGAUAUGAGAAGGCAGACCCGGGGAACUGAAACAUCUAAGUACCCGGAGGAAGAGAAAGCAAAUGCGAUUCCCUGAGUAGCGGCGAGCGAAACGGGACCAGCCCAAACCAAGAGGCUUGCCUCUUGGGGUUGUAGGACACUCUGUACGGAGUUACAAAGGAACGAGGUAGAUGAAGAGGUCUGGAAAGGCCCGCCAUAGGAGGUAACAGCCCUGUAGUCAAAACUUCGUUCUCUCCUGAGUGGAUCCUGAGUACGGCGGAACACGUGAAAUUCCGUCGGAAUCCGGGAGGACCAUCUCCCAAGGCUAAAUACUCCCUAGUGACCGAUAGUGAACCAGUACCGUGAGGGAAAGGUGAAAAGCACCCCGGAAGGGGAGUGAAAGAGAUCCUGAAACCGUGUGCCUACAAGUAGUCAGAGCCCGUUAACGGGUGAUGGCGUGCCUUUUGUAGAAUGAACCGGCGAGUUAUGAUCCCGUGCAAGGUUAAGCAGAAGAUGCGGAGCCGCAGCGAAAGCGAGUCUGAAUAGGGCGAAUUGAGUACGUGGUCGUAGACCCGAAACCAGGUGAUCUACCCAUGUCCAGGGUGAAGUUCAGGUAACACUGAAUGGAGGCCCGAACCCACGCACGUUGAAAAGUGCGGGGAUGAGGUGUGGGUAGGGGUGAAAUGCCAAUCGAACCUGGAGAUAGCUGGUUCUCUCCGAAAUAGCUUUAGGGCUAGCCUCAAGGUAAGAGUCUCGGAGGUAGAGCACUGAUUGGACUAGGGGCCCCUACCGGGUUACCGAAUUCAGUCAAACUCCGAAUGCCGAUGACUUAUCCUUGGGAGUCAGACUGCGAGUGAUAAGAUCCGUAGUCGAAAGGGAAACAGCCCAGACCGCCAGCUAAGGUCCCAAAGUAUACGUUAAGUGGAAAAGGAUGUGGAGUUGCUUAGACAACCAGGAUGUUGGCUUAGAAGCAGCCACCAUUUAAAGAGUGCGUAAUAGCUCACUGGUCGAGUGACUCUGCGCCGAAAAUGUACCGGGGCUAAACGUAUCACCGAAGCUGCGGACUGUUCUUCGAACAGUGGUAGGAGAGCGUUCUAAGGGCUGUGAAGCAAGACCGGAAGGACUUGUGGAGCGCUUAGAAGUGAGAAUGCCGGUAUGAGUAGCGAAAGAGGGGUGAGAAUCCCCUCCACCGAAUGCCUAAGGUUUCCUGAGGAAGGCUCGUCCGCUCAGGGUUAGUCGGGACCUAAGCCGAGGCCGAAAGGCGUAGGCGAUGGAUAACAGGUUGAUAUUCCUGUACCACCUCCUCACCAUUUGAGCAAUGGGGGGACGCAGGAGGAUAGGGUAAGCGCGGUAUUGGAUAUCCGCGUCCAAGCAGUUAGGCUGGGAAAUAGGCAAAUCCGUUUCCCGUGAAGGCUGAGCUGUGAUGGCGAGCGAAUUAUAGUAGCGAAGUUCCUGAUUCCACACUGCCAAGAAAAGCCUCUAGCGAGGUGAGAGGUGCCCGUACCGCAAACCGACACAGGUAGGCGAGGAGAGAAUCCUAAGGUGAUCGAGAGAACUCUCGUUAAGGAACUCGGCAAAAUGACCCCGUAACUUCGGGAGAAGGGGUGCUCUGUUAGGGUGCAAGCCCGAGAGAGCCGCAGUGAAUAGGCCCAGGCGACUGUUUAGCAAAAACACAGGUCUCUGCGAAGCCGUAAGGCGAAGUAUAGGGGCUGACGCCUGCCCGGUGCUGGAAGGUUAAGAGGAGCGCUUAGCGUAAGCGAAGGUGCGAAUUGAAGCCCCAGUAAACGGCGGCCGUAACUAUAACGGUCCUAAGGUAGCGAAAUUCCUUGUCGGGUAAGUUCCGACCCGCACGAAAGGCGCAACGAUCUGGGCACUGUCUCAACGAGAGACUCGGUGAAAUUAUAGUACCUGUGAAGAUGCAGGUUACCCGCGACAGGACGGAAAGACCCCGUGGAGCUUUACUGCAGCCUGAUAUUGAAUGUUGGUACAGCUUGUACAGGAUAGGUAGGAGCCUUGGAAACCGGAGCGCCAGCUUCGGUGGAGGCAUCGGUGGGAUACUACCCUGGCUGUAUUGACCUUCUAACCCGCCGCCCUUAUCGGGCGGGGAGACAGUGUCAGGUGGGCAGUUUGACUGGGGCGGUCGCCUCCUAAAAGGUAACGGAGGCGCCCAAAGGUUCCCUCAGAAUGGUUGGAAAUCAUUCGCAGAGUGUAAAGGUACAAGGGAGCUUGACUGCGAGACCUACAAGUCGAGCAGGGACGAAAGUCGGGCUUAGUGAUCCGGUGGUUCCGCAUGGAAGGGCCAUCGCUCAACGGAUAAAAGCUACCCCGGGGAUAACAGGCUUAUCUCCCCCAAGAGUCCACAUCGACGGGGAGGUUUGGCACCUCGAUGUCGGCUCAUCGCAUCCUGGGGCUGUAGUCGGUCCCAAGGGUUGGGCUGUUCGCCCAUUAAAGCGGUACGCGAGCUGGGUUCAGAACGUCGUGAGACAGUUCGGUCCCUAUCCGUCGCGGGCGUAGGAAAUUUGAGAGGAGCUGUCCUUAGUACGAGAGGACCGGGAUGGACGCACCGCUGGUGUACCAGUUGUUCUGCCAAGGGCAUCGCUGGGUAGCUAUGUGCGGACGGGAUAAGUGCUGAAAGCAUCUAAGCAUGAAGCCCCCCUCAAGAUGAGAUUUCCCAUUCCGCAAGGAAGUAAGAUCCCUGAAAGAUGAUCAGGUUGAUAGGUCUGAGGUGGAAGUGUGGCGACACAUGGAGCUGACAGAUACUAAUCGAUCGAGGACUUAACCUA
This 2928-nucleotide ribosomal RNA is filed under the name Bacillus amyloliquefaciens. Its description in RNAcentral is "23S ribosomal RNA". It matches the Rfam family "Bacterial large subunit ribosomal RNA". Lineage: Bacteria; Bacillati; Bacillota; Bacilli; Caryophanales; Bacillaceae. The record is from RNAcentral.